Long non-coding RNA from Rhineura floridana, 311 nucleotides. RefSeq lists it as uncharacterized. The record is from RefSeq and is a predicted model, not a curated record. Lineage: Eukaryota; Metazoa; Chordata; Lepidosauria; Squamata; Rhineuridae. The transcript is spliced from 3 exons.
UUUUAAAAAAGUCUAUGGGCCAGGUGUUUCAAACUGGCUGCGGCUGGCUUCAGUUCUUCCCCUUCAAGGUCAGUCAUGACAAGGCACCAUAUUUGAAACAGAAUGCUGACAAACUGGAAAGAAUUCAGAAGUGAACGAGGGUCUCGAAGACAAAUCUGAAACAUCAAACUGGGUAAGAGUUUUUUGAGAACUUGAAACGCUGCUCCACAUGGGAGGGUGAGUGAUGUCAUGAUUGUCACACAGGACAGCAAAUCAGAACAUUGCAUACAGUUAGCUUGUACUGGAAACAGGAAGAAGUGAUCUCCCUUAAG